Molecule: ribosomal RNA, 254 nt
Filed under: uncultured bacterium
Lineage: Bacteria
Description: partial 16S ribosomal RNA
Rfam family: Bacterial small subunit ribosomal RNA
Source: RNAcentral
UACGUAGGGCGCAAGCGUUAUCCGGAAUUAUUGGGCGUAAAGAGCUCGUAGGCGGUUUGUCGCGUCUGCCGUGAAAGUCCGGGGCUCAACUCCGGAUCUGCGGUGGGUACGGGCAGACUAGAGUGAUGUAGGGGGAGACUGGAAUUCCUGGUGUAGCGGUGAAAUGCGCAGAUAUCAGGAGGAACACCGGUGGCGAAGGCGGGACUCUGGGCCGAUACUGACGCUGAGGAGCGAAAGCGUGGGGAGCAAACAGG